RNAcentral lists this unclassified non-coding RNA (336 nucleotides) under soil metagenome. RNAcentral's name for it is "partial contains 5.8S ribosomal RNA, internal transcribed spacer 2, and large subunit ribosomal RNA". The stretch from base 1 to 120 matches the Rfam family "5.8S ribosomal RNA", at positions 35 to 154 of the family's 154-position model. The record is from RNAcentral.
GAUGAAGAACGUAGCGAAAUGCGAUAAGUAAUGUGAAUUGCAGAAUUCAGUGAAUCAUCGAAUCUUUGAACGCACAUUGCGCCCGCCAGUAUUCUGGCGGGCAUGCCUGUUCGAGCGUCAUUUCAACCAUCAAGCCCCCGGCUUGUGUUGGGGACCUGCGGCUGCCGCAGGCCCUGAAAACCAGUGGCGGGCUCGCUGUCACACCGAGCGUAGUAGAUUUUCAUCUCGCUCAGGGCGUGCUGCGGGUUCCGGCCGUUAAAAAGCCUUUUUUACCCAAGGUUGACCUCGGAUCAGGUAGGAAGACCCGCUGAACUUAAGCAUAUCAAUAACGGAGGA